GACGAACGCUGGCGGCGUGCCUAAUACAUGCAAGUAGGACGCAGUUGCGAACGGGUGAGUAACGCGUAGGUAACUACCUAUUAGAGGGGGAUAACAAUUGGAAACGAUAGCUAAUACCGCCUACUAGUAGAUGGACCUGCGUUGUAUUAGCUAGUAGGUAGGGUAAUGGCCUACCUAGGCAACAAUACAUCGCCAACCGGGGAGGGGUGUGGGGCACACUUGGAAUGAGACACGGCACAGAAUCCUACGGGAGUCAGCAGGAGGGAAUCUUCGGCAAUGGGGGGAACCCUGACCGAGCAACGCAGCGUGAGUGACGAAGGUUUUCGGAUCGUAAAGCUCUGUUGUUAAGGAAGCGGUAAUUAACCAGAAAGGGACGGCUAACUACGUGCCAGCAGCCGCGGUAAUAC
This 407-nucleotide ribosomal RNA is filed under the name uncultured bacterium. RNAcentral's name for it is "partial 16S ribosomal RNA". It matches the Rfam family "Bacterial small subunit ribosomal RNA", at positions 28 to 526 of the family's 1533-position model. The record is from RNAcentral.